RNAcentral lists this microRNA precursor (67 nucleotides) under Bombyx mori (domestic silkworm). RNAcentral describes it as "mir-2774 microRNA precursor family". It matches the Rfam family "mir-2774 microRNA precursor family". The record is from Rfam by way of RNAcentral. Lineage: Eukaryota; Metazoa; Arthropoda; Insecta; Lepidoptera; Bombycidae.
AUAAAAUUCGUACCGUCGGUCUACCGAAGAAUUUCACUCGUUCGGUGGAAGAACGUCCCUUCAUCAA